UGGCCUGCCUCCCCAUUCCCUCUCAGGAGCUCGUGCCCAGAUGUACCCUGCUGAGGGACCUGCUAAUGAUACUCUGACUUUGUAGGUUACGAAAGUCACCUCUUGUUUUAGCAAACCCUUUAAUUUCAGUUGGCAAAGAGUGACUGAGCCAGAGCCUCAGCACGGGGGCUGUUUGGGCUCCCUGCCCUGUGUGCCGUGAGCACGCAGACCUGCCUGUGGAUGCUGGCCCUCUCCUUGGCCAUCCUCUUAGAACUCUUGAGACAGAGUUCAGCGUGCCCUGUAACACAGAGCCAGGCUUCUAAACGGGAAGCAGGUACAGGCAGGUUAGAACUGGCCUGGUGCCUGGAUCCCUUCAUCCCCAGAGGCCAGGUGCUCCUUGAAAGAAACUUGCGCAGCCUUUUCUUCUACCAGUUACUGUUUAUCUGCUCAGCACCCCAAGGAACGAGCCCAUGAUCUGUCCCAGCUCUCAAAACAAGUAAACACUGGGAUGUAGCCUCCCACAUUUGUACUUCUAAACGAUCUGGUGUCUUGCUGGGAGAGAGUCCCUACCUGGCCGGCUGGCAGAAUUGUGGUGACUGACAGGGACCAUGAGCAACACCCUCCUCCAGAAUCAGGGGAGCCGAGGUCCUACCCCUACCCUCCCAUCAAAGAGCAGUUCCCAGACAUAAAAUUCACACACCAUACAGUUCACCCCUCUAAAGCCUGCAAUUCUGUGGUUUUUUAGGAUAUUCACAGGGUUGUGCAGCCAUUGCCACUGUCUAAUUUUAGAAUAUUCUCCUCGUCCCAAAAAGAACCCCCACCCCUGCCCUGGACCCAUUACCAGGGGUUAGGCGGUGGUUCCCAGCUGGAGGGAGGGUGGGACAUGAAGCGUCGCGGGGUCUCCUUCCCCUGACCUUCAGAAUCCAGGCUUCCGGGAGGACCACAGCAGGGGCAUUGAUCACAAUGACCCACCUGUUCUAGACAUUAAUGAAGUAGGGGGAGAAAAGACAGGUGCCCCCAUCCUGGAGGGCUCUUCUCUCCUGAAACACUAGCUGCUUUGCACUAUGGUGGGCUUCAGGCAUUACACUUUCCACCAAGACCAUGGAGAGCUUUCCACAUUCCGUCCCUAAGAGACAUCCCUGGGCUCUGUCCUGUCUGUCCCGCAGUGUCUGUGUCUGAUGAGGCCCGCGCAGAAGUGAAUGGCCUGAAGGCCUCUCGCUUCUUCAGUCUCGCUGAGCGGCUGAAUGUGGGUGCCGCACCUUUCAUCUGGCUCUUCAUCCGCCCUCCGUGGUCGGUGAGCGGAAGCUGCUGCAAGGCCGUGGUUCACGAGAGCCUCAGGGCAGAGUGCCAGCUGCAGAGGGUGAGUCUGGGCGAGGGGCAGCACCUGCGAGGCCACCUGCAGGGUCCCAGGACACAGGAAGACCCCGAGGGUAGAUCCUGGACCCUGGAAAGUCAGGAGCCUAAGGGAAGUGAAGAUGCAGAAAACUGAGAGUGCAGAUAUGGGGAACGCAUCUGGAAAUUAGCUGGCACAGAGGAGGAAGCCUGAGAGCCAGGGUGGGCUGUGGAGUUCUGGGUACACGUGCUGACAGCUGGAAACAUGGGGCUGAGGCUGCAUGGGGCAGUGGGAGCUCAAGACACAAAUCUGGCCAGGUGUGGUGGCUCACGCCUGUCAUCCUAGCACUUUGGGAGGCCGAGGCUGGAGAAUUGCUUGUGGCCAGGUGUUCGAGACCAGUCUGGGCAACAUGAUGAAAUCUCGAAACCUCGUCUCUACAAAAAAUACAAAAAAGUUAGCCAGGGGUGGUGGUGCAUACCUAUAGUCCCAGCUACUCAGGAGGCUGCGGUGGGAGGAUCGCUUGAGCCUGGGAGGUUGAGCUUGCAAUGAGCCGUGACUAUGCCAACGCACUCCAGCCUGGGUGACAGAGCAAGACCCUGUUUCCCUUUAAAAAAAAAAAAAAAAA
This 1937-nucleotide small RNA is filed under the name Pan troglodytes (chimpanzee). RNAcentral's name for it is "retained intron". Lineage: Eukaryota; Metazoa; Chordata; Mammalia; Primates; Hominidae. The record is from RNAcentral.